GGACAAACUAAACCUUUGCAAUCCCACAUCAAUAGAUCCACAACUCCUGCAGGAGGAUCACGAAAUAGUUGUCUGCCCAAACUAGUAUUCACAGCCAAAUUGGCUAAUCUAUCAGCAACUUGAUUAGCUUCUUGAUAGUAAUGCUAAAUUUUAACUUGCCAUUCCCUAGAUAGAAGAGUACGGCAUUGAGAAAUUAAGUUCACAUGCCGCAAAUUCGAUCUAAAAUCAGCCAGAACCAAUUCCUUCGACACCAAAGAAUUUAACUCAACAAUCAACUGUCAGUAAUCCAGCUCUCAUGCUAUAUGAAGACCAUGUAAUAGAGCAUUCAACUCAGCCUCCAUAAAGGUGCAAAUAUCUAAUCGAAUCAAAUAACCCCCCAUCCAAAUACCAUGAUGAUCUCGAGUAACAUCACCCCCUCCAACACGUCCUGGAUUCCCCUUAUACGCUCCAUCAGAAUUAAGCUUCAUCCCACCCAUUGCAGGAGCAACCCAAGAAACAGCAACAAUAGUACAAGGACAAGUAAUUAUACCUUGACAAUGAGCAGACCAAGCUUUAGCAUUAGAAGCAAAUUGAGAUUGUAAUAAGAAGAUCUUCGCAUCAGUUGAAUAAACAUGGCCGUUAACAAAAUCAUUUCUCCAUCUGCAAAUCCACCACAGAGUGAUAGCUAAAAUUUGAAGAGAGGAACAAUCAUUACAAACAUGGGGUUGCAAAGAAUCACCCUUAUUAACUCAAUCAUCACUUGUCCAGCUACAAAAUAAUAGAAAGGAAUCACCAUCCCAAAUGCACUCCAUAUCACUCUAGCAUAGGGGCAGUCUCUCAGAACAUGUUCAAUAGAUUCAAUAGCAAUGCCACCCAAAGGACAACCAGCAUCUAUAGCAAAGCUUCUCUUCACACGCUCAAGAUUUGUCAUCAGCU
Molecule: unclassified non-coding RNA, 915 nt
Filed under: Hevea brasiliensis (rubber tree)
Lineage: Eukaryota; Viridiplantae; Streptophyta; Magnoliopsida; Malpighiales; Euphorbiaceae
Source: RNAcentral